This 77-nucleotide transfer RNA is filed under the name Hyphomonas sp. RNAcentral describes it as "tRNA-Arg". It matches the Rfam family "tRNA". From Rfam's summary of the family: Transfer RNA (tRNA) molecules are approximately 80 nucleotides in length. Their secondary structure includes four short double-helical elements and three loops (D, anti-codon, and T loops). The record is from RNAcentral. RNAcentral also lists the same sequence under 12 other names. Lineage: Bacteria; Pseudomonadati; Pseudomonadota; Alphaproteobacteria; Hyphomonadales; Hyphomonadaceae.
GCACCCGUAGCUCAGCUGGAUAGAGCGCCGCCCUCCGAAGGCGGAGGCCACAGGUUCGAAUCCUGUCGGGUGCGCCA